AUGAAUUUCGUGCGAUGAAAGGGCUUCCCCAGUCAUACAAUACUCUAAUACACUUGUAGGAAUCCUCGAAGAACGGACCAUUAACUUGAGAGCUGCUGUGAUCGAAGCAGCCCCUCCGUAACUACCACAUGUACUUAGCUGUUGCAGUUCUUGAGAAGUAGGAAGUGUGCCUCCACAGUGAGAGUAAUUUUGUGACUCCUUUUUUAUUUAAGUACUUCGGGCCUGUUCGAAUUCCACAAUUUUUAUUCGUUUGUAUUAUUCGAAAAUCGAUUCAAAGAUUUCGAUCAAGUUUGUUCAAAGAGCGAGUCUUCAAAAUGAGAACCACUGUGGCAGGAAUCUGGCCGGAGGGUGUGGUUUUUGCAGCAGUAAUUUUUGCCUCCACAGCGGCGGACUGCCCUUCUUUCAGAGAAUUCUUUUCAAAAUGUAAGAAGGAUUCACCUUCCUUCGAUGGAUGCUUGGUAAACCAAUUGAACAGAGUGAAGCACUGUUAUUCUCACGGUACGUAUCUUAAAACGGUUUAUUAAAUACCUUUUUGAAUUCUACCGUCAUCGAUUUUUUUCGAAAAUCUAGUCCUGAUUUUUACGUUUUAUAAUAUACAUAUUAGAUAUCAAAUAAUACACGUGGCACUAUUUUCUUGUAUUGGUAUUAGCGAUCUUCUAUUUUUUUCUUUUAGGUGAUACCUCAUUGGGGAUUCCAUCUUUGAUCCAAUCAGAUAUGGUGACGCGAUUGGAGAACCGGUGACAACAACUAUGCGCUACGGCAAUUUAUUCGAUUGCAAACUCAUACUUCCAAAUUUAACUGAGUGGGCAUGGUCCAAUUCAACUUACACUAAAGUCAAGACCGACCUCAAACGUAAAAUGGUGCAAAUUUACCAGACCGUACCGCUGAAGCAUGUGAAAUCCGAUGUUAUUGGCAGUGGUGAGAUCUUGGGCGUCCCUUUCUUCCACAGGAAAGGAGAAGCUGUUCUCGAUAUGAUUGGAGUGAAGCAAAAGUUCACUAUCCAGAUGCAACCAAACGGACAACUUAAGGUGAAUUUGGCCAUUCUUAGUUUCAACGAUAUGGCUUUGGCAUCUCGAGGUCUCCUUCACGACGAAUUCGUAGAAAAAGUAAUCAACAAUUUGAUGAGACGCUUUUGGAGACUAGGAUAUCCUUUCUUCCAAGGCUUCGCGUAUGAAAUAUCAGACAAAGCCAAGACCAUGCUGUUCAACCAACUCUUCAAACAAAUAGACUGGGAAUCCCUCUUCGGACAGUCUUUUCCAGGGGCUCCUUCUCAUAUCAGGCGGUAA
This 1286-nucleotide long non-coding RNA is filed under the name Bemisia tabaci. Its description in RNAcentral is "lncRNA ENSSSA2NGG010941". The record is from RNAcentral. Lineage: Eukaryota; Metazoa; Arthropoda; Insecta; Hemiptera; Aleyrodidae.